GACGAACGCUGGCGGCGUGCUUAACACAUGCAAGUCGAACGGAAAGGCCCUGCUCUUGCGGGGUGCUCGAGUGGCGAACGGGUGAGUAACACGUGAGUAUCCCGCCCCUGACUUUGGGAUAAAUUCAGGAAACAGGGGCGAAUAUCGGAUAGGAGCUCCUGCUGCACGGGGGGGGUUGGAAAGUUUCGGCGGUUGGGGAUGGACUCGCGGCUUAUGAGCUUGUUGGUGGGGUAGUGGCUUACCAAGGCUCUGACGGGUAGCCGGCCUGGGAGGGUGGCCGGCCACAUUGGGACUAAGGUACGGCCCAGUCUCCUACGGUCCGCAGCAGUGGGGAAUCUUACGCAGUGGGCCGAAGCCUGAUACAACGACGCCGCGUGCGGGAUGACGGCCUUCUGGUUGUAAACCACUUUCGCCUGUGCCGAGGCGUGAGUGACGGUAACGGGUCAAGAAGCCCCGGCUAACUACGUG
RNAcentral lists this ribosomal RNA (468 nucleotides) under uncultured bacterium. RNAcentral describes it as "partial 16S ribosomal RNA". It matches the Rfam family "Bacterial small subunit ribosomal RNA", at positions 28 to 507 of the family's 1533-position model. The record is from RNAcentral.